This 406-nucleotide ribosomal RNA is filed under the name uncultured bacterium. RNAcentral describes it as "partial 16S ribosomal RNA". It matches the Rfam family "Bacterial small subunit ribosomal RNA", at positions 29 to 526 of the family's 1533-position model. The record is from RNAcentral.
AUUGAACGCUGGCGGCAGGCCUAACACAUGCAAGUCGAACGAGUGGCGGACGGGUGAGUAAUGCCUGGGAAACUGCCCGAUGGAGGGGGAUAACUACGGGAAACGGUAGCUAAUACCGCAUACCAUCAGAUGCGCCCAGAUGGGAUUAGGUAGUUGGUGGGGUAACGGCUCACCAAGGCGACGAUCCCUAGCUGGUCUGAGAGGAUGACCAGCCACACUGGAACGGAGACAGGGUCCAGACUCCUACGGGAGGCAGCAGUGGGGAAUAUUGCACAAUGGGCGCAAGCCUGAUGCAGCCAUGCCGCGUGAAUGAAGAAGGCCUUCGGGUUGUAAAGUACUUUCAGCGGGGAGGCGUUACCCGCAGAAGAAGCACCGGCUAACUCCGUGCCAGCCGCCGCGGUAAUUC